UGUCAUUGUCGGCGUCAUGGCUGGGUGGUUCGAGUGGGGACGCGGGCGGGCCCAGUGUUGGCUUUCGAGCCGGGGCAGCGAAGGAUGAGAUGCCCCUGCGAAAGGGCAGUGUCCGAAAUGGUGGGAGAUGAGACCCGAAGAGCGAAGCUUGUGGAGGUGCUGUCGGAGGCCUCGCGCUGCACGUGGGAGCGUCCCCAGGAAGGCCUCAAGGACGUG
Long non-coding RNA from Trichosurus vulpecula (common brushtail), 216 nucleotides. RefSeq lists it as uncharacterized. NCBI's taxonomy places the organism in Eukaryota, Metazoa, Chordata, Mammalia, Diprotodontia, Phalangeridae. The record is from RefSeq and is a predicted model, not a curated record. The transcript is spliced from 3 exons.